ACACACACAUGAGAAAAUGAUCUCCUAAGUAUCGGUGUUUAACUUAUAUUAAGCACCAAUGACAUGACAUACCAUUAAAUUGAUGAAUUAUUAAAUACAUGGGGCCUAUCAUUAACUUAAUAAUUCACCAAUUUAAUGGUGUGUCAUGUUAUCGAUCUUAACAUAAAUUAAGCGACAAUAUUUAGGAGAUCAUUCACGUGUGUGUGU
RNAcentral lists this microRNA precursor (207 nucleotides) under Olea europaea subsp. europaea. The record is from RNAcentral. Lineage: Eukaryota; Viridiplantae; Streptophyta; Magnoliopsida; Lamiales; Oleaceae.